RNAcentral lists this non-coding RNA (46 nucleotides) under Schistosoma mansoni. The record is from RNAcentral. Lineage: Eukaryota; Metazoa; Platyhelminthes; Trematoda; Strigeidida; Schistosomatidae.
GCACUGCUGAGGAGUCGCAUAAUAGGACGAAACGGCCGUCCAGUAC